CCUACGGGAGGCAGCAGUGAGGAAUAUUGGUCAAUGGGCGGGAGACUGAACCAGCCAAGUCGCGUGAGGGAAGACGGUCCUAUGGAUUGUAAACCUCUUUAGGCGGGGAGCAAUGCCGGGCACGCGUGCCCGGAGGGAGAGUACCCGCAGAAUAAGCAUCGGCUAACUCCGUGCCAGCAGCCGCGGUAAUACGGAGGAUGCGAGCGUUAUCCGGAUUUAUUGGGUUUAAAGGAUGCGUAGGCGGAUUUUUAAGUCAGCGGUAAAAUGUCCGGGCUCAACCCGGGCCGGCCGUUGAAACUGGUGAUCUUGAGUGGGCGAGAAGUAUGCGGAAUGCGUGGUGUAGCGGUGAAAUGCAUAGAUAUCACGCAGAACUCCGAUUGCGAAGGCAGCAUACCGGCGCCCGACUGACGCUGAGGCACGAAAGCGUGGGGAUCGAACAGGAUUAGAUACCCUGGUAGUC
RNAcentral lists this ribosomal RNA (460 nucleotides) under uncultured bacterium. RNAcentral's name for it is "partial 16S ribosomal RNA". It matches the Rfam family "Bacterial small subunit ribosomal RNA", at positions 338 to 795 of the family's 1533-position model. The record is from RNAcentral.